RNAcentral lists this long non-coding RNA (932 nucleotides) under Helianthus annuus (common sunflower). RNAcentral's name for it is "hypothetical non coding rna". The record is from RNAcentral. Lineage: Eukaryota; Viridiplantae; Streptophyta; Magnoliopsida; Asterales; Asteraceae.
UUGUUAUAACACUUUUCAUAAAUCACUUACACACACUACAAAUCUUUUACACCUUUUCAAACACACACAAAUUCUCUCAAACACCUUCAUAUCUUCAUCAACCUACCAAGAACACCAUAGAAAAACCCUUCCAUCAUAUUCAUCUUUCUUAUAAACCACAUGGAUUUUCAUGGAAAUUAAGAAGAUCUAAAGCAUUUGCAAGUUAAAUCAAGCAUUUUCAUCCAUCAAAGAGUCUUCUAACAACAAGAUCUUCAUCUUCUUUGGAUCAUAAGCUCUUUUAGAUCAUCCCUAGCCUAGAGCUAGAAGUGAGCUUCUAACUUUAUAUUUAUUUUUCUUACUCACUUAUGUUAUGAUUAAAAACAAAAUAAUGAUAAAUAAUAGUAUGAAAAUACAAAGAAGCAAAAAUACAAAUCAUGAUAUCUAUGUUUGUUUAUGUUAUGAUUAAGACAUGUAUAACUUGUUAGAUGAUAUUCUAAAAAUAUGAUCUAACAAGUAUACAUAAACAUGUUAAAGUUUUUUUUUAUAUAUUGGAUGAUCAAAAUCUAUGGUGUAAUUAAAGUAUUUAAUGUUUUUAAAUAAAAACAAGACUUUUUACAAGAGUAUAAAAAGUAACAUACAACAUGAGAUUUUUAUAAAAGUUGUAAAAACUAGAAGUAAACUAGGUUUUUGAACUAGUUAACAUAUGUUGUAAGCAAGUUCAAAACCCUACAUGAUUUUGAGAUCAUCUUGAUAAGAUUAUGUUAUAAAUCUUGUUAUAAAGUUUAUGUAUCUUGUUUAUAAAAGUUAUGAGUAAAUUGUGAUGUUGAUUUGAAAAGAAAAAGAUAUGUUUAUUAAACAUGGCAAAGUGAUUAAAACAAAGGUGAUAUGGCAAAAUUUUCUUAAAAACUAUAUGAUAUAAAAACUAUCAUUUUUAGUUAAAUCUUUCCAAGAUU